GAUGAACGCUGGCGGCGUGCCUAAUACAUGCAAGUCGAGCGAACAGACGAGGAGCUUGCUCCUCUGACGUUAGCGGCGGACGGGUGAGUAACACUUGGAUAACCUACCUAUAAGACUGGGAUAACUUCGGGAAACCGGAGCUAAUACCGGAUAAUAUAUUGAACCGCAUGGUUCAAUAGUGAAAGACGGUUUUGCUGUCACUUAUAGAUGGAUCCGCGCCGCAUUAGCUAGUUGGUAAGGUAACGGCUUACCAAGGCGACGAUGCGUAGCCGACCUGAGAGGGUGAUCGGCCACACUGGAACUGAGACACGGUCCAGACUCCUACGGGAGGCAGCAGUAGGGAAUCUUCCGCAAUGGGCGAAAGCCUGACGGAGCAACGCCGCGUGAGUGAUGAAGGUCUUCGGAUCGUAAAACUCUGUUAUUAGGGAAGAACAAAUGUGUAAGUAACUAUGCACGUCUUGACGGUACCUAAUCAGAAAGCCACGGCUAACUACGUG
RNAcentral lists this ribosomal RNA (497 nucleotides) under uncultured bacterium. Its description in RNAcentral is "partial 16S ribosomal RNA". It matches the Rfam family "Bacterial small subunit ribosomal RNA", at positions 28 to 507 of the family's 1533-position model. The record is from RNAcentral.